AUAAAUACAAAAUUGGUUACACUCAGUCACAAUAAAUAUAUACUUAGUCAUAGAGGAUCACCACAAAAAAUAUGCACACGCCAAAGAACAUCAUCACAAUCCACGACCACUCACCACACUACCACUCUAAUGUACCAACGCUGCCACCUUCAAAUUAAAAUCCACAGCAACGAUUACCAUCAUUAUCACCAUCCUCCACUAACACCUUCAACAAACACCAACCAACACCACCGACAUCACAGCAUCAUCAAAACCACGACCAACUGCCGCCAAACCUUAAAGACCCCCAUCGAUUACAAAUCAUAAUCAUAAAAUUUCAACAAGCCAACUAAAAAAAAAAAAAAGAUUAACAAUCCGAAAUCUAAAAGCGACGAACAUGUGGUGUGCAUUCUCUUGCAGUUUCUUCAAGCACAAUUGGACCAUAGCCGAACCACCGUCUCAACCAGCCAUUCCCCAAAUGCACGGUCCCAAGCACCCACUGUCGAACCACCAUUCCUUCAAGUACUCACCAUCUCAACCAGCCACACCCUAGUUCUGUUGUUGGACCAACACUGGUCUACCAUAUCAUUGCCAUCGCACUCAUUUUUAGAAACUAUUACACUUCAAGAAAUAGUAGAAGAGGAAUUGAAAGGAAAAAAAGGUUAAACAACUUGACAGAAAAGAUGAAAUGCCAUUGAAAGAAGGAAGAGCAUUUUCUUGUUGUAUCAAUUAAAUGUGUGUAAGAACUAGGUAGGGCAGUACUUAAUGGGUGGCUAUUGUAAUGGCGGUGGUAGAGAUAAGAAAGUAG
Molecule: long non-coding RNA, 787 nt
Filed under: Olea europaea (common olive)
Lineage: Eukaryota; Viridiplantae; Streptophyta; Magnoliopsida; Lamiales; Oleaceae
Description: long non-coding RNA (OEUR_LNC002188)
Source: RNAcentral